AGCAGCCGCCACGGGAAUACGAAGGGGGCUAGCGUUGUUCGGAAUAACUGGGCGUAAAGGGUGCGUAGGCGGAUCUUUAAGUCAGGGGUGAAAUCCCGAGGCUGAACCUCGGAACGGCCCUUGAUACUGGGGAUCUUGAGUCCGGGAGAGGUGAGUGGAACUGCGAGUGUAGAGGUGAAAUUCGUAGAUAUUCGCAAGAACACCAGUGGCGAAGGCGGCUCACUGGCCCGGAACUGACGCUGAGGCACGAAAGCGUGGGGAGCAAACAGGAUUAGAUACCCCAGUAGUCCCUGUCUCUUAUAA
RNAcentral lists this ribosomal RNA (303 nucleotides) under uncultured bacterium. RNAcentral's name for it is "partial 16S ribosomal RNA". It matches the Rfam family "Bacterial small subunit ribosomal RNA", at positions 507 to 809 of the family's 1533-position model. The record is from RNAcentral.